Molecule: ribosomal RNA, 400 nt
Filed under: uncultured bacterium
Lineage: Bacteria
Description: bacterial SSU rRNA
Rfam family: Bacterial small subunit ribosomal RNA
Source: RNAcentral
UAGGGAAUAUUGCACAAUGGAGGAAACUCUGAUGCAGCGACGCCGCGUGAGUGAUGAAGGACUUCGGUUCGUAAAGCUCUGUUGCAGGGGAAUAACACAAUGAAGGUACUCUGCGAGAAAGGGUCGGCUAACUUCGUGCCAGCAGCCGCGGUAAGACGAGGGACCCUAGCGUUGUUCGGAAUCAUUGGGCGUAAAGCGGGUGUAGGUGGCUUUGUAAGUCAGGUGUGAAAGCCCGGGGCUUAACCUCGGAAGUGCAUUUGAUACUGCGAAGCUUGAGUGGUGGAGAGGUUACUGGAAUUCCUGGUGUAGUGGUGAAAUACGUAGAUAUCAGGAGGAAUACCGGAGGCGAAGGCGGGUAACUGGCCACACACUGACACUCAGACCCGAAAGCGUGGGGAUC